RNAcentral lists this transfer RNA (85 nucleotides) under Candidatus Walczuchella monophlebidarum. RNAcentral describes it as "tRNA-Ser (GCT) (tRNA-Ser-GCT-1-1)". It matches the Rfam family "tRNA". From Rfam's summary of the family: Transfer RNA (tRNA) molecules are approximately 80 nucleotides in length. Their secondary structure includes four short double-helical elements and three loops (D, anti-codon, and T loops). Further hydrogen bonds mediate the characteristic L-shaped molecular structure. tRNAs have two regions of fundamental functional importance: the anti-codon, which is responsible for specific mRNA codon recognition, and the 3' end, to which the tRNAs corresponding amino acid is attached (by aminoacyl-tRNA synthetases). tRNAs cope with the degeneracy of the genetic code in two manners: having more than one tRNA (with a specific anti-codon) for a particular amino acid; and 'wobble' base-pairing, i.e. permitting non-standard base-pairing at the 3rd anti-codon position. Lineage: Bacteria; Pseudomonadati; Bacteroidota; Flavobacteriia; Flavobacteriales. The record is from Rfam by way of RNAcentral.
GGAGGGUUGCCAGAGUGGUUAAUGGAGCAAUUUGCUAAAUUGCCGGCGAGAAAUCGUCGCGUGGGUUCAAAUCCCACACUCUCCG